RNA transcript from Zalophus californianus (California sea lion), 505 nucleotides. It is a transcript of the gene named 40S ribosomal protein S16-like, with no coding region annotated. The transcript has a single exon. Lineage: Eukaryota; Metazoa; Chordata; Mammalia; Carnivora; Otariidae. The record is from RefSeq and is a predicted model, not a curated record.
AUGCGGUGCAAGGGUCCUCUGCAGUCCGUGCAGGUCUUCGGACGCAAGAAAGACGGCCACAGGCGUGACGCACUGCAAACGCGGCAACGGCCUCAUCAAGGUGAAUGGGCAGCCCCUGGAGAUGAUCGAGCCUCGCACGCUGCAAUAUAAGCUACUGGAACCUGUUCUGCUUCUGGGCAAGGAGCGAUUUGCCGGGGUGGACAUCCGAGUCCGAGUGAAGGGUGGUCGUCACGUGGCCCAGAUUUAUGCAAUCCGCCAGUCCAUCUCCAAAGCCCUGGUGGCCUAUUACCAGAAAUAUGUGGAUGAGGCUUCCAAGAAGGAGAUCAAAGACAUCCUCAUCCAAUACGACCGGACCCUACUGGUAGCUGAUCCCCGGCGCUGCGAAUCCAAAAAGUUUGGCGGUCCUGGUGCCCGUGCUUGCUACCAGAAAUCCUACCGAUAAGCCUAUCGUGAGGAUGAGGGUUCAUCUUUAUAAUAAACAGUUGUCACGGGAAAAAAAAAAAAA